UUACGAUUGACGACGAAUUAAUUAACUCUCGGUUGUUGGCCAAUUUGUAUGCCGUCGCUGUUAAACUAUUUUCAGUCAAUAUUUCCAUGAGGAGGAUCGCGUUUGUUGUAAACAUUCAUCUACCAAGGUCUCCUUCCAGCAUCGCGAAAACACAGGAGAAAAAGAGAGAAAAUAAGGAAGAAGAAGAGAGAAGAUUCGUCCCCCAGUUUUCCAUCAACUGUCGAAGCGUUCAAACAAGAUGCUUCAUAUCGAGGAUGCUCAACUGUAUGCGGACCUCUUACAACGAAUUGCAAAGCAUAUUACUGCUCGGGAAGAUUGAGCAAUGGGAAGCCAUAAAUGACAAGGAGUUUCAGACGACGAACGAAGGUGAGAGCUUUGAUUAUUUCUCGAAGGAAGGCGAGAAAUAUCUGAGCAUGGCGCAUAAUUUACGUGAGAAGAACUCCAAGCUAUUUCCGCGUGUACUGAAGGCGCUGGACAAUUUCACAAGGCUAAACGCCUUUGCUAAAAGCACAAACUUACAAGAUGUCGCCUCUUUGUACCGAUACGAGUAUUUCUUGGAAAAGCUUUUUGCUUGGAAAGCCGCGGAGGACAAGCGCAAAUAUACAAGAUAUUGUAAAAGUUGUGGAGGUUGUGAAUGUUGUGGAAGAACAGAACACGAAGAAAUUGUGGAAAACAAGAACGAACAUGAAAUUAUGAACGACGAGAAGGAAUGUGACGAAGAAAUUAGGCAGAACAAGAAUAAAUAUAACAAAAAAAUUGCGAAAAACAAAAACAAAUAUGUCAACGGAAUUUUGUUAGAAAGGGAAUACGAUACAGUGAUGGAAUAUGAAGAUAUAGUCUUCAUGUUCCGAGAGGCAGAAGAAAAAAGCGCUUAUGGAUACGACUAUGCGUAUAGUUUCCUCAAGGAUUACUGUGUUAUGUUCAUGUUUUUCCGUCAACUGGAAAACUUCAGGAUGCUAGUCGCGAUGAUUCAAAACCUGUAUGUCGAAUACAAAAGGUGUUGCCUGUUAUUGCAUAACCUGAUGGCAAAUUACUGUCUGAAAGCGAACAGUUUUUUGCGCGCGCAACUCCGGAGCUCGAGAAAGCUUCGGCGAAGUAAGGAGCAUAGCAUGCGAUGUAAAUACAGAUACCUAAAGCAGUUGAUAGCACGCAUUAUCGAGCAAAAUGAAACAAGUAACGCUUGAUUAUUAGCAAUUUUAAACACAUAAGUUAUAAAGAGAUUACGAAAGAUAUAAGUUAUAAGGAGCGAAACGACAUGGCAAGGUACAUAGGAACUGCGAGUGAUCGUCGUUCUGAAGCAAAUGCGAAAUAAAGAUGUGAUCAAACGAUUGACGACAUCACGUUUCUUGCUAAAUGAAUCUUUCGUUGACGAAGUGAUUUUUUACGUGUCUCUUUAUAUAUUCAUUUUGCCCGAAGACAAGAAAGAAGUAUAUGAAACUCGGUUUGUCCGUCAGUGUGUUUUGCAUUUUUAAGUAUAUAUGUUUAACAAUAUUUA
Molecule: RNA transcript, 1495 nt
Organism: Odontomachus brunneus
Lineage: Eukaryota; Metazoa; Arthropoda; Insecta; Hymenoptera; Formicidae
Exons: 8
Source: RefSeq, a predicted model, not a curated record